CCGAAUGGGGAAACCCAGUGUGUUUCGACACACUAUCAUUAACUGAAUCCAUAGGUUAAUGAGGCGAACCGGGGGAACUGAAACAUCUAAGUACCCCGAGGAAAAGAAAUCAACCGAGAUUCCCCCAGUAGCGGCGAGCGAACGGGGAGCAGCCCAGAGCCUGAAUCAGUGUGUGUGUUAGUGGAAGCGUCUGGAAAGGCGCGCGAUACAGGGUGACAGCCCCGUACACAAAAAUGCACAUGCUGUGAGCUCGAUGAGUAGGGCGGGACACGUGGUAUCCUGUCUGAAUAUGGGGGGACCAUCCUCCAAGGCUAAAUACUCCUGACUGACCGAUAGUGAACCAGUACCGUGAGGGAAAGGCGAAAAGAACCCCGGCGAGGGGAGUGAAAAAGAACCUGAAACCGUGUACGUACAAGCAGUGGGAGCCUCUUUAUGGGGUGACUGCGUACCUUUUGUAUAAUGGGUCAGCGACUUAUAUUCUGUAGCAAGGUUAACCGAAUAGGGGAGCCGAAGGGAAACCGAGUCUUAACUGGGCGUUAAGUUGCAGGGUAUAGACCCGAAACCCGGUGAUCUAGCCAUGGGCAGGUUGAAGGUUGGGUAACACUAACUGGAGGACCGAACCGACUAAUGUUGAAAAAUUAGCGGAUGACUUGUGGCUGGGGGUGAAAGGCCAAUCAAACCGGGAGAUAGCUGGUUCUCCCCGAAAGCUAUUUAGGUAGCGCCUCGUGAACUCAUCUCCGGGGGUAGAGCACUGUUUCGGCAAGGGGGUCAUCCCGACUUACCAACCCGAUGCAAACUGCGAAUACCGGAGAAUGUUAUCACGGGAGACACACGGCGGGUGCUAACGUCCGUCGUGAAGAGGGAAACAACCCAGACCGCCAGCUAAGGUCCCAAAGUCAUGGUUAAGUGGGAAACGAUGUGGGAAGGCCCAGACAGCCAGGAUGUUGGCUUAGAAGCAGCCAUCAUUUAAAGAAAGCGUAAUAGCUCACUGGUCGAGUCGGCCUGCGCGGAAGAUGUAACGGGGCUAAACCAUGCACCGAAGCUGCGGCAGCGACGCUUAUGCGUUGUUGGGUAGGGGAGCGUUCUGUAAGCCUGUGAAGGUGUGCUGUGAGGCAUGCUGGAGGUAUCAGAAGUGCGAAUGCUGACAUAAGUAACGAUAAAGCGGGUGAAAAGCCCGCUCGCCGGAAGACCAAGGGUUCCUGUCCAACGUUAAUCGGGGCAGGGUGAGUCGACCCCUAAGGCGAGGCCGAAAGGCGUAGUCGAUGGGAAACAGGUUAAUAUUCCUGUACUUGGUGUUACUGCGAAGGGGGGACGGAGAAGGCUAUGUUGGCCGGGCGACGGUUGUCCCGGUUUAAGCGUGUAGGCUGGUUUUCCAGGCAAAUCCGGAAAAUCAAGGCUGAGGCGUGAUGACGAGGCACUACGGUGCUGAAGCAACAAAUGCCCUGCUUCCAGGAAAAGCCUCUAAGCAUCAGGUAACAUCAAAUCGUACCCCAAACCGACACAGGUGGUCAGGUAGAGAAUACCAAGGCGCUUGAGAGAACUCGGGUGAAGGAACUAGGCAAAAUGGUGCCGUAACUUCGGGAGAAGGCACGCUGAUAUGUAGGUGAAGUCCCUCGCGGAUGGAGCUGAAAUCAGUCGAAGAUACCAGCUGGCUGCAACUGUUUAUUAAAAACACAGCACUGUGCAAACACGAAAGUGGACGUAUACGGUGUGACGCCUGCCCGGUGCCGGAAGGUUAAUUGAUGGGGUCAGCGCAAGCGAAGCUCUUGAUCGAAGCCCCGGUAAACGGCGGCCGUAACUAUAACGGUCCUAAGGUAGCGAAAUUCCUUGUCGGGUAAGUUCCGACCUGCACGAAUGGCGUAAUGAUGGCCAGGCUGUCUCCACCCGAGACUCAGUGAAAUUGAACUCGCUGUGAAGAUGCAGUGUACCCGCGGCAAGACGGAAAGACCCCGUGAACCUUUACUAUAGCUUGACACUGAACAUUGAGCCUUGAUGUGUAGGAUAGGUGGGAGGCUUAGAAGUGUGGACGCCAGUCUGCAUGGAGCCGACCUUGAAAUACCACCCUUUAAUGUUUGAUGUUCUAACGUUGACCCGUAAUCCGGGUUGCGGACAGUGUCUGGUGGGUAGUUUGACUGGGGCGGUCUCCUCCUAAAGAGUAACGGAGGAGCACGAAGGUUGGCUAAUCCUGGUCGGACAUCAGGAGGUUAGUGCAAUGGCAUAAGCCAGCUUGACUGCGAGCGUGACGGCGCGAGCAGGUGCGAAAGCAGGUCAUAGUGAUCCGGUGGUUCUGAAUGGAAGGGCCAUCGCUCAACGGAUAAAAGGUACUCCGGGGAUAACAGGCUGAUACCGCCCAAGAGUUCAUAUCGACGGCGGUGUUUGGCACCUCGAUGUCGGCUCAUCACAUCCUGGGGCUGAAGUAGGUCCCAAGGGUAUGGCUGUUCGCCAUUUAAAGUGGUACGCGAGCUGGGUUUAGAACGUCGUGAGACAGUUCGGUCCCUAUCUGCCGUGGGCGCUGGAGAACUGAGGGGGGCUGCUCCUAGUACGAGAGGACCGGAGUGGACGCAUCACUGGUGUUCGGGUUGUCAUGCCAAUGGCACUGCCCGGUAGCUAAAUGCGGAAGAGAUAAGUGCUGAAAGCAUCUAAGCACGAAACUUGCCCCGAGAUGAGUUCUCCCUGACCCUUUAAGGGUCCUGAAGGAACGUUGAAGACGACGACGUUGAUAGGCCGGGUGUGUAAGCGCAGCGAUGCGUUGAGCUAACCGGUACUAAUGAACCGUGAGGCUUAACCUU
Molecule: ribosomal RNA, 2789 nt
Filed under: Escherichia coli AD30
Lineage: Bacteria; Pseudomonadati; Pseudomonadota; Gammaproteobacteria; Enterobacterales; Enterobacteriaceae
Description: bacterial LSU rRNA
Rfam family: Bacterial large subunit ribosomal RNA
Source: RNAcentral